GACGAACGCUGGCGGCGUGCUUAACACGUGCAAGUCGAACGGAAAGGCCCUGCUUUUGUGGGGUGCUCGAGUGGCGAACGGGUGAGUAACACGUGAGUAACCUGCCCUUGACUUUGGGAUAACUUCAGGAAACUGGGGCUAAUACCGGAUAGGAGCUCCUGCUGCAUGGUGGGGGUUGGAAAGUUUCGGCGGUUGGGGAUGGACUCGCGGCUUAUCAGCUUGUAGGUGGGGUAGUGGCUUACCAAGGCUUUGACGGGUAGCCGGCCUGAGAGGGUGACCGGCCACAUUGGGACUGAGAUACGGCCCAGACUCCUACGGGAGGCAGCAGUGGGGAAUAUUGCACAAUGGGCGGAAGCCUGAUGCAGCAACGCCGCGUGCGGGAUGACGGCCUUCGGGUUGUAAACCGCUUUCGCCUGUGACGAAGCGUGAGUGACGGUAAUGGGUAAAGAAGCACCGGCUAACUACGUG
This 468-nucleotide ribosomal RNA is filed under the name uncultured bacterium. RNAcentral's name for it is "partial 16S ribosomal RNA". It matches the Rfam family "Bacterial small subunit ribosomal RNA", at positions 28 to 507 of the family's 1533-position model. The record is from RNAcentral.